Molecule: ribosomal RNA, 358 nt
Filed under: Klebsiella pneumoniae
Lineage: Bacteria; Pseudomonadati; Pseudomonadota; Gammaproteobacteria; Enterobacterales; Enterobacteriaceae
Description: bacterial LSU rRNA
Rfam family: Bacterial large subunit ribosomal RNA
Source: RNAcentral
UCCAAGGCUAAAUACUCCUGACUGACCGAUAGUGAACCAGUACCGUGAGGGAAAGGCGAAAAGAACCCCGGCGAGGGGAGUGAAAAAGAACCUGAAACCGUGUACGUACAAGCAGUGGGAGCACCUUCGGGUGUGACUGCGUACCUUUUGUAUAAUGGGUCAGCGACUUAUAUUCUGUAGCAAGGUUAACCGUAUAGGGGAGCCGCAGGGAAACCGAGUCUUAACUGGGCGUUAAGUUGCAGGGUAUAGACCCGAAACCCGGUGAUCUAGCCAUGGGCAGGUUGAAGGUUGGGUAACACUAACUGGAGGACCGAACCGACUAAUGUUGAAAAAUUAGCGGAUGACUUGUGGCUGGGGG